Molecule: transfer RNA, 76 nt
Filed under: Oceanimonas baumannii
Lineage: Bacteria; Pseudomonadati; Pseudomonadota; Gammaproteobacteria; Aeromonadales; Aeromonadaceae
Also listed under: 18 other names
Description: tRNA-Val
Rfam family: tRNA
About the family: Transfer RNA (tRNA) molecules are approximately 80 nucleotides in length. Their secondary structure includes four short double-helical elements and three loops (D, anti-codon, and T loops). Further hydrogen bonds mediate the characteristic L-shaped molecular structure. tRNAs have two regions of fundamental functional importance: the anti-codon, which is responsible for specific mRNA codon recognition, and the 3' end, to which the tRNAs corresponding amino acid is attached (by aminoacyl-tRNA synthetases). tRNAs cope with the degeneracy of the genetic code in two manners: having more than one tRNA (with a specific anti-codon) for a particular amino acid; and 'wobble' base-pairing, i.e. permitting non-standard base-pairing at the 3rd anti-codon position.
Source: RNAcentral
GGGUGAUUAGCUCAGCUGGGAGAGCACCUCCCUUACAAGGAGGGGGUCACUGGUUCGAGCCCAGUAUCACCCACCA